RNAcentral lists this long non-coding RNA (476 nucleotides) under Equus caballus (horse). RNAcentral's name for it is "lncRNA (ENSECAG00000046267.1)". Lineage: Eukaryota; Metazoa; Chordata; Mammalia; Perissodactyla; Equidae. The record is from RNAcentral.
AGGAGAGUUUCUUCCGGAUAGAACUCCGUUGGGUUGCCUCAUUUUAGCAAAAAUGCUGCAGCUCAACCGCCUAUGUUUACAGAGCAGCCCUGGGAGUGCUUGGAGGUAAUUCUCACUGGGAACUCCUUGUUCUCAGCAUAACUUAGGCUAUGACUUACGGUGAAAUUAUAACUACUGCUUUCUCCUCAUUUCAGACUAUCUCAUCGGCACUAUCUCAUUAAAAGAAGCCACUUCUCCCUGACCUUCCCUCUGUUCUGCUCACCAUGAAUAUUUCUCCAAGCAUUUUGUCCUCGAUCUCUAUGAACCACAAUGACUAUCAAAGAAUGAAUCAAGAAUGAGUUGUCAUGUGGGAUGCCGCCUCAAUGUGGCCGGAUGAGCAGUACCCUGUCCGCACCCAGGAUCCGAACCUGCGAAACUCUGGGCUGCCGCAGCAGAGCACACGGACUUAACAGCUCGGCCACGGGCCCGGCCCCUAU